CUCACCAACGGUGAUCAGUGCUACUGAAAGUAGAUUGUCCGCUUCAUUACCCAACGAAAUACCAAUCGAAAGCGGAAGUGAUGCGAACCUACUUGGAUGUGACAACUAAGUGAAAGAAGAGUCAAUGAGCAAAUUUUGUGGAGGAAUGACCCAAAACUUCAGAAGUUUGCGAGACGAUGCUCGUUAAAGCUCCAACAAGCAUCCACCCAGUUCAAGCAGCAUGUGGAAUUUUGAGAGACUGGCGCAGUAAGGAUGGUCUUUUCCUUCAUUUGG
RNAcentral lists this long non-coding RNA (273 nucleotides) under Musa acuminata (dwarf banana). RNAcentral describes it as "long non-coding RNA (MACU_LNC011649)". The record is from RNAcentral. Lineage: Eukaryota; Viridiplantae; Streptophyta; Magnoliopsida; Zingiberales; Musaceae.